GCCGGUCCGCCUCAACGCGACGUACAGGUCCGGCCGGGCCUUUCCUUCUGAGGACCGCAUGCCCCUCAAUGGGUGUGUCGGAGAACCUCGGACUUUUACUUUGAAAAAAUUAGAGUGUUCUUAGCAGGCAUUUGCUCGAAUACCUUAGCGUGGGAUAAUAGAAUAGGACGUGCGGCUCUAUCUUGUUGGUCUCUAGGACCGCCGUAAUGAUUAAGAGGGAAGUCGGGGGCAUUAGUAUUCAAUAGUCAGAGGUGAAAUUCUUGAUUUAUUGAAGACUACUACUGCGAAGCAUUUGCCAGGAUGUUUUCAUUAAUCAGGACGAAAUUAGGGCAUCGAAAC
RNAcentral lists this ribosomal RNA (339 nucleotides) under Teratosphaeriaceae sp. Its description in RNAcentral is "bacterial SSU rRNA". It matches the Rfam family "Eukaryotic small subunit ribosomal RNA", at positions 657 to 1004 of the family's 1831-position model. Lineage: Eukaryota; Fungi; Ascomycota; Dothideomycetes; Mycosphaerellales; Teratosphaeriaceae. The record is from RNAcentral.